GAUGAACGCUGGCGGCGUGCUUAACACAUGCAAGUCGAGCGGAAAGGCCCUGCUUUUGUGGGGUGCUCGAUUGGCGAACGGGUGAGUAACACGUGAGUAACCUGCCCUUGACUUUGGGAUAACUUCAGGAAACUGGGGCUAAUACCGGAUAUGAUCUCCUGCUGCAUGGUGGGGGUUGGAAAGUUUCGGCGGUUGGGUAUGGACUCGCGGCUUAUCAGCUUGUUGGUGGGGUAGUGGCUUACCAAGGCUUUGACGGGUAGCCGGCCUGAGAGGGUGACCGGCCACAUUGGGACUGAGAUACGGCCCAGACUCCUACGGGAGGCAGCAGUGGGGAAUAUUGCACAAUGGGCGGAAGCCUGAUGCAGCAACGCCGCGUGCGGGAUGACGGCCUUCGGGUUGUAAACCGCUUUCGCCUGUGACGAAGCGUGAGUGACGGUAAUGGGUAAAGAAGCACCGGCUAACUACGUG
Molecule: ribosomal RNA, 468 nt
Filed under: uncultured bacterium
Lineage: Bacteria
Description: partial 16S ribosomal RNA
Rfam family: Bacterial small subunit ribosomal RNA
Source: RNAcentral